Molecule: ribosomal RNA, 253 nt
Filed under: uncultured bacterium
Lineage: Bacteria
Description: partial 16S ribosomal RNA
Rfam family: Bacterial small subunit ribosomal RNA
Source: RNAcentral
UACGGAGGGUGCGAGCGUUGUCCGGAAUCAUUGGGCGUAAAGGGCGCGUAGGUGGCUUCUUAAGCGUGCGGUGAAAGCCUGGGGCUCAACCCCGGGUCGGCCGUGCGAACUGGGGGGCUGGAGCACUGUAGAGGCAGGCGGAAUUCCGGGUGUAGCGGUGGAAUGCGUAGAGAUCGGGAGGAACACCGGUGGCGAAGGCGGCAUCCUGGACCAACACUGACACUGAGGAGCGAAAGCCAGGGGAGCAAACGGG